This is a long non-coding RNA of Colius striatus (speckled mousebird), 598 nucleotides long. RefSeq lists it as uncharacterized. NCBI's taxonomy places the organism in Eukaryota, Metazoa, Chordata, Aves, Coliiformes, Coliidae. The transcript is spliced from 3 exons. The record is from RefSeq and is a predicted model, not a curated record.
GAAGGUGGUGGUGCUAUGCGGCGGGCUGGGCGGCGGUAGGCGUAUCAGUGGCAUUUCCCAGCUUAGGUCGAGAGAAAGUGGCCUCGAGUUGGACCAAGGGUGAUUUAAAUUGGGUAUUAGGAAGAACUUUUUCACUGAAGGGGUAGUUGAACACUUGAAUGGGCUCCCCGGGUGGGUGGUGGAGUCACCAUCCAUGGGGAUAUUUAAAAGCUACGUAGCUGAAGUGGUGAGCUCAGCAGUGUGAGCUCAGUGGUUAGACUUGGUGAUCUUAAAGGCCUUUUCCAACAAAAGUGAUUAUUUGCUCCCCUAGCAGGGUUGGGAGACAGCACCAGCCAUGGCACUUCUGGACUGUCAGUCUCCCUCAGUGCUCGUUCCCCUGAACCACAGAACCUUUCUCUGUUAGUGAGGUCCAUAUUUUGCCUCCAAAAUGGUGUACAGGCUUCUAAGGUAAAUACUACCAUGGGUUGAGUUGCACACAGAUUGCUGGAAGAAGAAAGAACUGAAAAAAUAAACCUCACGUUAACUUCACCUGAGGUGCUUUUUUUUUCCCCUAAUGAGGAUGUAAAGAUUUGUUCAUCUUCACCUGCUCUUCAGAAUG